Molecule: ribosomal RNA, 506 nt
Filed under: uncultured bacterium
Lineage: Bacteria
Description: partial 16S ribosomal RNA
Rfam family: Bacterial small subunit ribosomal RNA
Source: RNAcentral
GAUGAACGCUAGCUACAGGCUUAACACAUGCAAGUCGAGGGGUAACGAGAGGGAAGCUUGCUUUCCUUGUCGACGACCGGCGCACGGGUGAGUAACGCGUAUCCAACCUGCCCCCAACUAGGGAAUAACCUUGCGAAAGUAAGACUAAUACCCUAUAAUUUCCUCAGAUGUCAUCUGACGAGGAAUAAAGAUUUAUCGGUUGUGGAGGGGGAUGCGUCUGAUUAGCUUGGUGGCGGGGUAACGGCCCACCAAGGCAACGAUAAGUAGGGGUUCUGAGAGGAAGGUCCCCCACAUUGGAACUGAGACACGGUCCAAACUCCUACGGGAGGCAGCAGUGAGGAAUAUUGGUCAAUGGGCGGAAGCCUGAACCAGCCAAGUAGCGUGCAGGAUGACGGCCCUAUGGGUUGUAAACUGCUUUUAUACAGGAAUAAAGUUAGCCACGUGUGGUUAUUUGUAGGUACUGUAUGAAUAAGGACCGGCUAAUUCCGUGCCAGCAGCCGCAGUAA